RNAcentral lists this ribosomal RNA (253 nucleotides) under uncultured bacterium. RNAcentral describes it as "partial 16S ribosomal RNA". It matches the Rfam family "Bacterial small subunit ribosomal RNA", at positions 524 to 776 of the family's 1533-position model. The record is from RNAcentral.
GACAGAGGGGGCAAGCGUUGCUCGGAAUUACUGGGCGUAAAGGGCGCGUAGGCGGGAUGGCAAGUCAGUCGUGAAAUCUCUCGGCUCAACCGAGAAACGUCGGCUGAUACUGCCGUUCUUGAGGGAUGCAGAGGAGACUGGAAUUCCCGGUGUAGCGGUGAAAUGUGUAGAGAUCGGGAGGAACACCGGUGGCGAAGGCGGGUCUCUGGGCAUUUCCUGACGCUGAGACGCGAAAGCGUGGGGAGCGAACAGG